This 253-nucleotide ribosomal RNA is filed under the name uncultured bacterium. Its description in RNAcentral is "partial 16S ribosomal RNA". It matches the Rfam family "Bacterial small subunit ribosomal RNA", at positions 524 to 776 of the family's 1533-position model. The record is from RNAcentral.
UACGUAGGGUGCAAGCGUUAAUCGGAAUUACUGGGCGUAAAGCGUGCGCAGGCGGCUAUGCAAGACAGAUGUGAAAUCCCCGGGCUCAACCUGGGAACUGCAUUUGUGACUGCAUGGCUAGAGUGCGGCAGAGGGGGAUGGAAUUCCGCGUGUAGCAGUGAAAUGCGUAGAUAUGCGGAGGAACACCGAUGGCGAAGGCAAUCCCCUGGACCUGCACUGACGCUCAUGCACGAAAGCGUGGGGAGCAAACAGG